Molecule: ribosomal RNA, 253 nt
Filed under: uncultured bacterium
Lineage: Bacteria
Description: partial 16S ribosomal RNA
Rfam family: Bacterial small subunit ribosomal RNA
Source: RNAcentral
UACGUAGGUGGCAAGCGUUAUCCGGAUUUACUGGGUGUAAAGGGCGUGUAGGCGGGAGAGCAAGUCAGACGUGAAAUUCCAGGGCUCAACCCUGGAACUGCGUUUGAAACUGUUCUUCUUGAGUGAUGGAGAGGCAGGCGGAAUUCCGUGUGUAGCGGUGAAAUACGUAGAUAUACGGAGGAACACCAGUGGCGAAGGCGGCCUGCUGGACAUUAACUGACGCUGAGGCGCGAAAGCGUGGGGAGCAAACAGG